Molecule: ribosomal RNA, 301 nt
Filed under: uncultured bacterium
Lineage: Bacteria
Description: partial 16S ribosomal RNA
Rfam family: Bacterial small subunit ribosomal RNA
Source: RNAcentral
CAGUCGCCACGGUAAAACGUAGGUGGCGAGCGUUGUCCGGAUUUAUUGGGCGUAAAGGGAGUGUAGGCGGUCUUUUAAGUCUGAUGUGAAAGCCCACGGCUCAACCGUGGAGGGUCAUUGGAAACUGGGAGACUUGAGUGCAGAAGAGGAGAGCGGAAUUCCAUGUGUAGCGGUGAAAUGCGUAGAUAUAUGGAGGAACACCAGUGGCGAAGGCGGCUCUCUGGUCUGUAACUGACGCUGAAGCUCGAAAGCGUGGGGAGCAAACAGGAUUAGAUACCCGAGUAGUCCCUGUCUCUUAUAA